ACUUUCACAUUUCUAUCACUACGGUCUCUCCCUCUCUAAACCCUACAAAAUCACUACGGUAUUUCUUCACUCUGCGUUGUCUCUCUCAUAAACGACGGUGACGGUGACGGUGAUGGUAACGAUGGCGGUAACAAUGACGGUUUUUAUGCACCUUGCUUUCAUCCUUGACUCUUCUUACUGAAUCUUUGCCUAUUGAUUCCGCUAAGGAACAAUCGUCUCUUCUAUCUAGUCAGUGGAACAAAAAUUGGUGUCCUAUUCCCGGCAGUCUUCUCAACACAAGUUUCUUUGCACUUGAUAAGCAAAGCGUACUUAAGGCAGAAGCCAAGAAGGUAAAGGAAGUCCAAAAGUUGGUCCAAUUCGAUAGUUCAAUGAGGCGGAGCUUAAGUCAGCUACAACACAAGUAUUAUUAAAUUGUUCUGAGGUCCUGCCUUUUUAUAAGUGAGUAUAUUUAUAUUAAGGACAAAUCAUUCAAGGUCUAUCUAAGCUUUAACUAACGAAAGUCAUAACUUUGUCGGACAGCUACUUCGUGGCUUUGCACGGGGAUGCUACUGUUUAUCCUAUGUUUUCAGUGUGGUUUAAAGAAUAUGUUCAUAAUCCACCUAAUUAUGACCCAAAUGGCCAAUUUUUAUGUAAUAUAUCUUGGGGACCUGUUGCUAAAGUCAGAAAGUUUUCUAAGUACUCUGUCAAUGGGUACAGAUUUCAUACAGAAGAGUCCUUUAAGGGCAAGAAAGCCAACAACAGUGGGGUUUGGGUGAAAGGUGAUGGCGGUGUUGAUUAUUAUGGUGUGCUUCACGAGAUUUUAGAACUCGAUUAUCAUGUUGGUUGGCCAAAGAAAAAGUUGAUUCUCUUUCUGUGUAAGUGGUAUGAUCCUACGCCUAGGUUAGGUACAAAGGUGAACCCUCGGUACAAAAUAGCGAAAUUAAGCGUGCAAGGGAGUAUGGACUCUAUGAACCAUUUGUCAUUGCACAAAAUAUGAAACAAGUGUAUUACGCUCCUUAUCCUUAGUGUAAGAAUAAAUUUGCAUGGCGGGUAGUUAUAAAAACCAAGCCCAUGGGUAGAUUUGAAGUAGAGGAUGCAUUGGAUGCAGCAUAUCAGAAUGACAUUUCAACAUUUCAAGUGUUGAAGAAAGGGUGGAUGAUGAAUUAGCAGGUGAGUUGCAGUAUAGCGAAGGCCUAUAUGAAGAAUUUGAUCCUUCUAAACUUAGAUUGAAUGUUAAUGAUUAUGGAGAAGGAACAUCCGGGGCAAAUUACGAGGAAGAUCCAACUGAUGAAAAUGAAAUAAGCGAUGAAGAGUUACUUGAUGAAAAUGAAACAAGUGAUGAGAAAGAAUCGGUGGAUGAAUAUGAACUAAGUGAUGAGGAAGAAUUGAUGAAUGACUAUGAAACACGUGAUGAGGAAGAAUUGAUGAAUGACUAUGAAACACGUGAUGAGGAAUGAGUUGUUAUUAAUAGUAGUGUGUAGUAAUAGGGUCUCGAAUUGUAUUUUAGCUGCUGCUUUUUGUUAUUUACUUGACAAUAUAGUGUCUUUUCUUUGUUAACAUUUGUAGUGUCAGUAAGAACAUUUUCAGGUUGUUGGAUUAAAUAGCGGUGAUGAAUUUCUAUAGUAUUUCUGUGUUGUCUAUUUUAUUCAAUUGGUACUACAGAAAAGAACUAUCCAUUUUAUAUGUGCAGAGGUAAAAAAAGAGGUAAAAAACUUUUAUUCUGUAUGAACACUUGCUAUAGUGUUGUUUCAUUCGUUCGAUACUGUAUUUGUUUCCUUUUUGGUAAGAAUUUUUUAUUUUCU
This is a long non-coding RNA of Capsicum annuum, 1781 nucleotides long. RefSeq lists it as uncharacterized. The record is from RefSeq and is a predicted model, not a curated record. Lineage: Eukaryota; Viridiplantae; Streptophyta; Magnoliopsida; Solanales; Solanaceae. The transcript is spliced from 4 exons.